CUGUCGUGGCAUCACAGUGCUUGUGUGCAAGUAAUCUUUGACAUCACCUGCUCCUGACAUCAAACCAUCGACAUCCUCGAUCAUGGGUGGAUGAUCCUCUUUCUGACGUAUUGUCAGAUCAUCAAUAAUAGCCUCAUGCGGUGUCACAAUGCCCACAUGGUUCACUUCCCUUCAUCUCACCACGCAGGCACCAUACCAUCUCACGUCAUCACAAGAAGAAGAAGGGUGAGGACAGCACAGUAAGAUACUUGGAGAGAGAGAGACAACACAUUCACUCAGGCCAAUGACAGGAUCUGUACUGAUUUCUUCUCUCACACACACAGGGACUCCAGAGGCUACUCAGCUAAGAAGACAUUGUCACAGAUGGAAGGAGCCAGAUCCCCAAAUCAUCACUUGGAGAAGAGACACCCCAGACAGCCAAC
Molecule: long non-coding RNA, 422 nt
Filed under: Equus caballus (horse)
Lineage: Eukaryota; Metazoa; Chordata; Mammalia; Perissodactyla; Equidae
Description: lncRNA (ENSECAG00000045197.1)
Source: RNAcentral